AUGAAUGACACCAACUGUGCAAUCAUGAGCUGGAACGUCAAAGGGCUAAACUCGCCAGCAAAGAGAGCAACGGUGAGCGGGGUAGCUAGCGCGCACAAUCUCGUCAUCCUCUUUCUCCAAGAGACGAAGAUUGAUGCCUGGUCGCCGAUGCUCGCCAGGGAGAUCGGUGGCAGCCGCUUAGAUGGGUGUGACGUGCUGCCGGCGAUCGGCACACGCGGUGGAGCUGCCAUAUUUUGGGACUCUUCGACGGCAACCUUGACAACGCAUAGAGUUGGUAGAUACUCCAUCACGGCCAGAGUUGAAUUGCUACACACAAAUUCAGCUUUCUGGCUCACCACCGUUUAUGGGCCGGUGGAUGACACUCGCAAAUAUGAGUUCUUGCAUGAACUGGCUCUGGCAACUUCCACCUGGCCAACCGUGGAUCCUCAACGGCGAUUUCAACAUCAUCUACGAAGCCAGAUAUAA
RNAcentral lists this ribosomal RNA (465 nucleotides) under Triticum aestivum (bread wheat). RNAcentral describes it as "partial small subunit ribosomal RNA". Lineage: Eukaryota; Viridiplantae; Streptophyta; Magnoliopsida; Poales; Poaceae. The record is from RNAcentral.